Molecule: ribosomal RNA, 462 nt
Filed under: uncultured Thermotogae bacterium
Lineage: Bacteria; Thermotogati; Thermotogota; Thermotogae
Description: bacterial SSU rRNA
Rfam family: Bacterial small subunit ribosomal RNA
Source: RNAcentral
CCUACGGGAGGCAGCAGUAGGGAAUAUUGCGCAAUGGGCGGAAGCCCGACCCAGCCAUGCCGCGUGAAGGAAGACGGCCUUAUGGGUUGUAAACUUCUUUACUAUGCGACUAACUAGAUUUACGAGAUAAUUCUAUAGAAUGUAGCAUAGCAAAAAGCACCGGCUAACUCCGUGCCAGCAGCCGCGGUAAUACAGAGGGUGCGAGCGUUAUUCGGAAUUACUGGGUUUAAAGGGUACGUAGGCGGUAAAAGAAGUCAUCUGUGAAAACCUAUUGCUCAACGAUAGGCUAGCGGAUGAAACUGAAUUACUUGAGGGCACCAGAGGUAGACGGAAUUACCCGAGUAGGGGUGAAAUCCGCAGAUACGGGUAGGAACGCCGGUGGAGAAGUCGGUCUACUGGGGUGCACCAGACGCUGAGGCCCGAAAGCUAGGGGAGCAAACCGGAUUAGAUACCCUAGUAGUC